UCGUCCUGACCAGACUCAAGUCAGAAGAUGAGCCAACGCGCUCUCUCAGUGGCCUCAUCCUCAAGAACAACGUGAAGGCACACUAUCAGAGCUUCCCACCCCCUGUGGCAGACUUCAUCAAACAGGAGUGUCUCAACAACAUUGGCGACGCCUCCUCGCUCAUCCGAGCCACCAUUGGCAUUCUCAUCACCACCAUCGCUUCCAAGGGUGAGCUGCAGAUGUGGCCCGAGCUGCUGCCCCAGCUCUGCAACCUGCUUAACUCGGAGGAUUACAACACUUGUGAGGGAGCCUUUGGAGCCCUGCAGAAGAUCUGUGAAGACUCAUCAGAGCUUCUGGACAGUGACGCCCUCAACAGGCCCCUCAACAUCAUGAUCCCCAAGUUCCUGCAGUUCUUCAAGCACUGCAGUCCCAAGAUCCGGUGGGUGCAGCUCCCUGGGGGCUUCCAGGGAGCCUGGAGUGGGCAGGGUCAGGGUGACCCACGUGUCUGCUCCCCGCCAGGUCCCACGCCAUCGCCUGCGUGAACCAGUUCAUCAUGGACCGGGCCCAGGCGCUGAUGGACAAUAUUGACACCUUCAUCGAGGUGGGCCGCUGGGCUGGGGGUGGGCAGGGCGAGGACUGAGGGCCC
This 625-nucleotide small RNA is filed under the name Pan troglodytes (chimpanzee). RNAcentral's name for it is "retained intron". The record is from RNAcentral. Lineage: Eukaryota; Metazoa; Chordata; Mammalia; Primates; Hominidae.